Agrilus planipennis (emerald ash borer) is the source of this 1012-nucleotide long non-coding RNA. RefSeq lists it as uncharacterized. NCBI's taxonomy places the organism in Eukaryota, Metazoa, Arthropoda, Insecta, Coleoptera, Buprestidae. The transcript is spliced from 6 exons. The record is from RefSeq and is a predicted model, not a curated record.
AUAUUACCCUUUGUAUAUCUGUUAUCUAUGACUUGGCCAUUUUGUAGUAAAAGCUAUGCUGCGUCGCCAUUUUUAAAAUUUUGCAGUUUUACUUGAUUUUCGAAUAAUGAUCAAUAAGAGUGGGAGAGUGUUAAUUUUGAUGCAGCUGAAAAAGUAAUUUUUUUGCCAUGGUGUUCUUUUGAUUUUGGAGGAUUUUCUAGUUAAUUACGGAACAUUAAAAAAACUGGAUGGCAUUAAUUUACAGUGCAUUUACAUUGUGUCUUCAUUCAAUCCAGAAAGUAGCAAUUCUAAAAAGAAGCACGAAAGUACCUUUUUCCCAUGGGACCAAAUACAGUGUAGUUAUAAGGAAGAAUUUAUGACAUUGAACUGAUUGGUCAAGAAGUGACAAGGAAUUAAGUUAAUUCUGAUUCUACUGAAACAACUGAUGCUUUUGACGCUUUCUCCUUCUAACAUAAUGCAGUUAAUUUUGAACCUGAGAAAGCAAGGCAACUGGAAAUUAAUUUGGAAACGACUGAAUCAACAGAUUGUCUGCAGUGGUAUUUCUCCUGGAUUUGGCUUGUUCAUUCUACCUGUGGACCUUAGAAAGCUACUUUCUGCGGUUAAUGGAGAUUGCCCAACAAAUGAGUUCAGUUUGGCUCUACUCGAACAGCCGUCUGCAUGGGUGUGGUCUUUUCUGGACUUUGUUCCUGGUUUGAUAUUUUCAUCUUCACUUCGCAAGACCAUGCAGUUGAUUUUCGACUGAUUAGUGGGAGCAACUAAGGAUUUAUUUGAUUUCAAAUGGAACAACAAAAUUUCUGCUAUGGUGUUCCUCCUGGAUUUGGUUUGCUCUUCACACCUGCAAACAGUUGCAGUCUGCAUUUAAUUAAGAUCGACGUUGGAGAAGACAAAGAUGACCCCAUAGUUGAAAUAGUUUUUUUAUCUUGCAUGCUGUAUCUGGUUAAUUAAGUUCAUUUUAAUCAAAUUAAUUUUUUAUUUUGCAUGUUUUGUUGUAGUUAAUUUGAAUUAAUUUUUA